Molecule: ribosomal RNA, 253 nt
Filed under: uncultured bacterium
Lineage: Bacteria
Description: partial 16S ribosomal RNA
Rfam family: Bacterial small subunit ribosomal RNA
Source: RNAcentral
UACGAAGGGGGCUAGCGUUGCUCGGAAUUACUGGGCGUAAAGCGCACGUAGGUGGCGAUUCAAGUUAGAUGUGAAAGGCCCGGGCUCAACCCGGGAACUGCAUUUGAUACUGAAUUGCUAGAGUCCAAGAGAGGGUAGUGGAAUUCCCAGUGUAGAGGUGAAAUUCGUAGAUAUUGGGAAGAACACCAGUGGCGAAGGCGGCUACCUGGCUUGGUACUGACACUGAGGUGCGAAAGCGUGGGGAGCGAACAGG